This 253-nucleotide ribosomal RNA is filed under the name uncultured bacterium. Its description in RNAcentral is "partial 16S ribosomal RNA". It matches the Rfam family "Bacterial small subunit ribosomal RNA", at positions 524 to 776 of the family's 1533-position model. The record is from RNAcentral.
UACGAAGGGGGCUAGCGUUGCUCGGAAUCACUGGGCGUAAAGCGCACGUAGGCGGCUUUUUAAGUCAGGGGUGAGAUCCUGGAGCUCAACUCCAGAACUGCCUUUGAUACUGGGAAGCUUGAGUCCGGGAGAGGUGAGUGGAACUCCGAGUGUAGAGGUGAAAUUCGUAGAUAUUAGGAAGAACACCGGUGGCGAAGGCGGCCCACUGGAUCGGUACUGACGCUGAGGUGCGAAAGCGUGGGGAGCAAACAGG